UACGUAGGUGGCAAGCGUUGUUCGGAUUUACUGGGCGUAAAGGGCGCGUAGGCGGCAUGACAAGUCACUUGUGAAAUCUCCGGGCUUAACUCGGAACGGUCAAGUGAUACUGUCGCGCUAGAGUGCGGAAGGGGCAAUCAGAAUUCUUGGUGUAGCGGUGAAAUGCGUAGAUAUCAAGAGGAAUACCUGAGGUGAAGACGGGUUGCUAGGCCGACACUGACGCUGAAGCGCGAAAGCCAGGGGAGCAAACGGG
This 253-nucleotide ribosomal RNA is filed under the name uncultured bacterium. RNAcentral describes it as "partial 16S ribosomal RNA". It matches the Rfam family "Bacterial small subunit ribosomal RNA", at positions 524 to 776 of the family's 1533-position model. The record is from RNAcentral.